AUUGAACGCUGGCGGCAGGCCUAACACAUGCAAGUCGAACGGUAACAGGGAUCAGCUUGCUGAUUCGCUGACGAGUGGCGGACGGGUGAGUAAUGUCUGGGAAACUGCCUGAUGGAGGGGGAUAACUACUGGAAACGGUAGCUAAUACCGCAUAACGUCGCAAGACCAAAGAGGGGGACCUUCGGGCCUCUUGCCAUCGGAUGUGCCCAGAUGGGAUUAGCUAGUAGGUGGGGUAACGGCUCACCUAGGCGACGAUCCCUAGCUGGUCUGAGAGGAUGACCAGCCACACUGGAACUGAGACACGGUCCAGACUCCUACGGGAGGCAGCAGUGGGGAAUAUUGCACAAUGGGCGCAAGCCUGAUGCAGCCAUGCCGCGUGUAUGAAGAAGGCCUUCGGGUUGUAAAGUACUUUCAGCGGGGAGGAAGGGAGUAAAGUUAAUACCUUUGCUCAUUGACGUUACCCGAAGAAGAAGCACCGGCUAACUCCGUG
This 490-nucleotide ribosomal RNA is filed under the name uncultured bacterium. RNAcentral describes it as "partial 16S ribosomal RNA". It matches the Rfam family "Bacterial small subunit ribosomal RNA", at positions 30 to 507 of the family's 1533-position model. The record is from RNAcentral.